RNAcentral lists this ribosomal RNA (406 nucleotides) under uncultured bacterium. RNAcentral's name for it is "partial 16S ribosomal RNA". It matches the Rfam family "Bacterial small subunit ribosomal RNA", at positions 29 to 526 of the family's 1533-position model. The record is from RNAcentral.
AUUGAACGCUGGCGGCAGGCCUAACACAUGCAAGUCGAACGAGUGGCGGACGGGUGAGUAAUGUCUGGGAAACUGCCUGAUGGAGGGGGAUAACUACGGGAAACGGUAGCUAAUACCGCAUACCAUCGGAUGUGCCCAGAUGGGAUUAGCUAGUAGGUGGGGUAAAGGCUAACCUAGGCGACGAUCCCUAGCUGGUCUGAGAGGAUGACCAGCAACACGGGAGCGGAGACGCGUGCCAGACUCCUACGGGAGGCACGCGUGGGGAAUAUUGGACAAGGGGCGCAUGCGUGAUGCAGACAUGCCGAGUGUAGGAAGAAGGCCAUCGGGUCGUGAAGUACGUGCAUCGUGGAGGCGUUACCCGCAGAAGAAGCACCGGCUAACUCCGUGCCAGCAGCCGCGGUAAUUC